CUGCCCUUGGGCAGGGCUGGUUGAGGAAGUGUGGUGAUUUUCUUGCAGCAGCAAUGGCUUCCCACCUCUUUCUCCACAGACAGGAGAAGAUAUUGGCUUGGCAAAGAAGAGAGAAGAUCAGAAAGCGAGGAAGAGGUGGAGACCGGGGAAGCAGGAGAGAAGAGUGGAAAUUGACUUCAUGCCUGGAAUUCUGCAAGAGAUUGCCUGGUUUUAGCUAUCAUGCAAUGCUGCUUAUCUCUUCCAUGUAUGAGUAUUUAACAAGGAGGAAGACUCCAGAGGAAAAAAAAAUCACUGUCCUUCUGUAAGGAUGCUUCUACUACAGGGGAGGCCCCUUUCUUGCUGAACUCUUUGGUGAGCUUGCCUAUGAACAGGUGACCUAGAGGGCAAAGGCUGAAUGCUGAC
This 402-nucleotide long non-coding RNA is filed under the name Ictidomys tridecemlineatus (thirteen-lined ground squirrel). RNAcentral's name for it is "lncRNA (ENSSTOG00000032572.1)". The record is from RNAcentral. Lineage: Eukaryota; Metazoa; Chordata; Mammalia; Rodentia; Sciuridae.